UACGUAGGGUGCAAGCGUUGUCCGGAAUUAUUGGGCGUAAAGGGCUCGUAGGCGGAUCCGCCAGUCUGACGUGAAAUCUCCACCGCUCACCGGGGAGGGGCCGUUGGAUACUACGGAUCUGGAGUUCGGCAGAGGACCAUGGAAUUUCGGGUGUAGCGGUGGAAUGCGUAGAUAUCCGAAAGAACACCGGUGGCGAAGGCGGUGGUCUGGGCCUGAACUGACGCUGAGGAGCGAAAGCCAGGGGAGCAAACGGG
RNAcentral lists this ribosomal RNA (254 nucleotides) under uncultured bacterium. Its description in RNAcentral is "partial 16S ribosomal RNA". It matches the Rfam family "Bacterial small subunit ribosomal RNA", at positions 524 to 776 of the family's 1533-position model. The record is from RNAcentral.